CGCGGUGGCACAAUCUGGUACUGCGCAGGACUGGAAAUCCUGUUUCCUUCGGGAUAUCCCGGUUCAAAUCCGGGCCGCGG
RNAcentral lists this transfer RNA (80 nucleotides) under Candidatus Woesearchaeota archaeon CG10_big_fil_rev_8_21_14_0_10_34_8. RNAcentral describes it as "tRNA-Ser". It matches the Rfam family "tRNA". From Rfam's summary of the family: Transfer RNA (tRNA) molecules are approximately 80 nucleotides in length. Their secondary structure includes four short double-helical elements and three loops (D, anti-codon, and T loops). The record is from RNAcentral. Lineage: Archaea; Nanobdellati; Candidatus Woesearchaeota.